GGAGGGAGGUGCACAUAUGAAACAUUGGCAAGGCUGUGAAAACUGAAUUAGUAAGCUGCAAUCUGCCAGAAGAUAGAAAAGAAGAUGUGGAGACUAAUCUUCUCUCACAUUUGGAGACUAGGGGAAGGAACUCCUCAACCGUUGGUCUUGUAAUUCCCAAGGGUAAACCCAAAUAAGUGAAAGGUAAACUGCCACUAGAGCAACCAAAAAACUGAGAUAGGUAAUGAAGUCUGUCAUCUGUAAUAUUAAUGGGUACCUUCAUAGACUUGGAAUAGUUUACUUUGAG
Molecule: long non-coding RNA, 286 nt
Filed under: Setaria viridis
Lineage: Eukaryota; Viridiplantae; Streptophyta; Magnoliopsida; Poales; Poaceae
Description: long non-coding RNA (SVIR_LNC007571)
Source: RNAcentral